RNAcentral lists this ribosomal RNA (585 nucleotides) under uncultured Polaribacter sp. RNAcentral describes it as "bacterial SSU rRNA". It matches the Rfam family "Bacterial small subunit ribosomal RNA", at positions 71 to 653 of the family's 1533-position model. The record is from RNAcentral. Lineage: Bacteria; Pseudomonadati; Bacteroidota; Flavobacteriia; Flavobacteriales; Flavobacteriaceae.
CAUUGUAGCUUGCUACAGAUGACGACCGGCGCACGGGUGCGUAACGCGUAUAGAACCUACCUUUUACAUAGGGAUAGCCUUUAGAAAUGAAGAUUAAUACCUUAUAGUAUUGAGACUUGGCAUCAAGUUUUAAUUAAAGAUUUAUCGGUAAAAGAUGGCUAUGCGUCCUAUUAGUUAGUUGGUAAGGUAACGGCUUACCAAGACAUCGAUAGGUAGGGGUCCUGAGAGGGAGAUCCCCCACACUGGUACUGAGACACGGACCAGACUCCUACGGGAGGCAGCAGUGAGGAAUAUUGGACAAUGGAGGCAACUCUGAUCCAGCCAUGCCGCGUGUAGGAAGAAUGCCCUAUGGGUUGUAAACUACUUUUAUACAGGAAGAAACACUGGUAUGUAUACCAGCUUGACGGUACUGUAAGAAUAAGGACCGGCUAACUCCGUGCCAGCAGCCGCGGUAAUACGGAGGGUCCGAGCGUUAUCCGGAAUCAUUGGGUUUAAAGGGUCCGCAGGCGGUCGAUUAAGUCAGAGGUGAAAUCCCAUAGCUCAACUAUGGAACUGCCUUUGAUACUGGUUGACUUGAGUCAUAUG